GGUUUCUUGAACUUAUUUAAGAAAUUUGACCUGCCCACUGAAUAAUUUUUGAAGGGCCGCAGUAUAUUGACUGUGCAAAGGUAGCAUAAUCAUUAGUCUUUUAAUUGAAGGCUGGAAUGAAUGGUUGGAUGAAGUGAAUUCUGUUUUAUAUUAAUUUGUAUUGAAUUUAGGUUUUAAGUAAAAAGACUUAAAUGAUAUUAAGGGACGAGAAGACCCUAUAGAGUUUAAUAAAUGUAUAAAUUAAUUGAGUUAUUGGAAUUUAAUUUUUGAUUAUUAUGAAAUUUAUUUAAUUGGGGUGAUUAGAAGAUAAAUAUAACUCUUCUUUAUGUUUAAUAUUAUACUUAGUUGUGUGAUCCAUUAUUUAAUGAUUAAAAGAUUAAAUUACCUUAGGGAUAACAGCAUAAUUCUUUUUAAGAGUUCAUAUCGAAAAAAGAGAUUGUGACCUCGAUGUUGGAUUAAGAUUAGUUUUGGGUGUAGAUGUUCAAUAACUAGGUCUGUUCGACCUUGAAAAUCUUACA
This 518-nucleotide ribosomal RNA is filed under the name Hierodula sp. MN343. RNAcentral describes it as "partial 16S ribosomal RNA". It matches the Rfam family "Bacterial large subunit ribosomal RNA", at positions 1887 to 2600 of the family's 2925-position model. Lineage: Eukaryota; Metazoa; Arthropoda; Insecta; Mantodea; Mantidae. The record is from RNAcentral.